AGUGAACGCUGGCGGUAGGCCUAACACAUGCAAGUCGAACGGUAGCACAUUUAGAGCUUUCUAUUACGGGUGACGAGUGGCGUACGGGUUAGGAAUACAUCGGAAUCUACUUUUUCGUGGGUGAUAACGUAGGGAAACUUACGCUAAUACCGCAUACUACCUACGGGUGAAAUCAGGGGAUCUUCGGACCUUGCGCGAUUGCAUGAGCCGUUGUCGGAUUAGCUAGUUGGCGGGGUAAAGGCCCACCGAGGCGACGAUCCGUAGCUGGUCUGAGAGGAUGAUCAGCCACACUGGAAAUGAGACACGGUGCAGAAUCCUAAGGGAGGCAGCAGUGGGGAAUAUUGGAGAAUGGGCGCAAGCCUGAUCCAGCCAUACCGCGUGGGUGAAGAAGGCCUUCGGGUUGUAAAGCACUUUUGUUGGGAAAGAAAAGCAGCAGGUUAAUACCCAGCAGUUCUGACGGUACCCAAAGAAUAAGCACCGGCUAACUUCGUG
This 492-nucleotide ribosomal RNA is filed under the name uncultured bacterium. RNAcentral's name for it is "partial 16S ribosomal RNA". It matches the Rfam family "Bacterial small subunit ribosomal RNA", at positions 29 to 507 of the family's 1533-position model. The record is from RNAcentral.